CCGCUCGCCGUCGCCGCCCCUAGACGCCCUGCCUGCGCGCUCCUCGCCGCCCCCACGAAGCCCUCGCCGGCACGCUCCGUGAGUCCCCCCCCCCCCCCCCGCCCCCGCGGCCACGCUCUCGUCGCGCCGGCGGCCCUCCCCGUCACCCUUGCCGCCUCCCACGACGCCCUCUCCUGUGCGCGUCUCGCUAUCCCCACGAAGCCCUCGCCGGCACGCUCCUGGCCUCCCUCCCCGCUCCCCCCAUGGCAGACCAUAAGCACGCACGAGGGGCGGCAUCAACUUCACUCACUGAUGAAAUAACCUCCGCUGCCCGUGGCUCCCUGACUCUCUGAUGACAAGAACAUGCACUUGUGGCACUCAUACAAGUCAACAGGCUGUACUCUAAUGGUGCACAAAAGGGAUGUACUCGAUUAGUCAUUUCGUCAGAUUUUAAUGAUCUAAUGAGAAACUGUUGGUUCACAAUCAACCCUUGGAAGAGUCAACAUCUAGAUCGACAAAUUUUACAGCAAGGUGACUGGAAUUUUUGCCUGAGAAGUAGGUGAGACGGCAGUAAGGCUCAGAUGGAGGUGACACUGCCUGUCGCGGCAUCUCCAAGAUGGAGAUGGAGCUAGGACCUGGACGUAGGCAGGGACGGCGCAACUUGUCGUGGUGUCGGCGGCGGAGGACAUGUAGCGGGUUAUGGGGUUUGGGUAGAGGUGGGUUAGAGGGAUGACGGCGGCAGCAGCGGUACCUCGGGCAGACCAGGGCAGCAAGGCUGCAACGUGGAUGGUCGUGUGUUUUGGCGUAUGCCUGGAGGAAGAAGGUUACAGGUCCGUUGGAUGCAUAUAUGUGACGGUGGAGGGAAAACCGACCCGACUGAAGAGAAACCUUUUUGAGCCUGAAAUAGUCGCUCUCAAUUGUAACCAUAGCAGCUUGGCACGGUUUUGAAGGAUCAGAGUUGCUUGUGUGUUGUAUGACUGAGUUUUUUCUUGCAAAUUGAAGUCCUUUGUUUGCUCUA
Molecule: long non-coding RNA, 997 nt
Organism: Triticum aestivum (bread wheat)
Lineage: Eukaryota; Viridiplantae; Streptophyta; Magnoliopsida; Poales; Poaceae
Exons: 4
Source: RefSeq, a predicted model, not a curated record